CCUACGGGAGGCAGCAGUGGGGAAUAUUGCACAAUGGGGGAAACCCUGAUGCAGCGACGCCGCGUGAGUGAAGAAGUAUUUCGGUACGUAAAGCUCUAUCAGCAGGGAAGAAAAUGACGGUAACUGACUAAGAAGCCCCGGCUAACUACGUGACAGCAGCCGCGGUAAUACGUAGGGGGAAAGCGUUAUCCGGAUUUACUGGGUGUAAAGGGAGCGUAGACGGCAGCGCAAGUCUGGAGUGAAAUCCCAUGGCUUAACCAUGGAACUGCUUUGGAAACUGUGCAGCUAGAGUGCAGGAGAGGUAAGCGGAAUUCCUAGUGUAGCGGUGAAAUGCGUAGAUAUUAGGAGGAACACCAGUGGCGAAGGCGGCUUACUGGACUGUAACUGACGUUGAGGCUCGAAAGCGUGGGGAGCAAACAGGAUUAGAUACCCGGGUAGUC
Molecule: ribosomal RNA, 440 nt
Filed under: uncultured bacterium
Lineage: Bacteria
Description: partial 16S ribosomal RNA
Rfam family: Bacterial small subunit ribosomal RNA
Source: RNAcentral